AAAAACAUGUUCUUUUGUUUAUAUAAAAGAUAUGGCCUGCCCAAUGAUUGAGUUAAAUGGCUGCAGUAUUUUGACUGUACAAAGGUAGCAUAAUCAUUUGUCUUUUAAUUGAGGUCUGGAAUGAAUGGUUGGAUGAAAAACAUACUUUUUUCAUUUUAUACAAAAAAUUUAAUUUUUUAGUCAAAAAACUAGAAUUUUUUUAUGGGACGAGAAGACCCUAUAGAACUUUAUUCUAUUAUUAUAGUUUUUAUUAGGGUAUAAAUAUAAUUUAUAAUUUGUUAGAAUUUUGUUGGGGUGACAAAAAAAAUUUUAUAACUUUUUUUUAUUUUUUACGUAUAUAUAUGUUGUUUUUGAUCCUUUUUUUGGAAGAAAGAUCAAGUUACCUUAGGGAUAACAGCGUUAUUAUCUUGGAGAGUUCAUAUCGAUAAGAUAGUUUGCGACCUCGAUGUUGGAUUAAAAUAAGAUGUGGGAGUAGAAUAUCACAUUCUGGGUCUGUUCGACCUUCAAAUUUUUACAUGAUCUGAGU
Molecule: ribosomal RNA, 526 nt
Filed under: Paraproba sp. WCW-2003
Lineage: Eukaryota; Metazoa; Arthropoda; Insecta; Hemiptera; Miridae
Description: partial 16S ribosomal RNA
Rfam family: Bacterial large subunit ribosomal RNA
Source: RNAcentral